Molecule: long non-coding RNA, 502 nt
Organism: Ornithodoros turicata
Lineage: Eukaryota; Metazoa; Arthropoda; Arachnida; Ixodida; Argasidae
Exons: 4
Source: RefSeq, a predicted model, not a curated record
GCCAGCGUGCACUGAUGUGUUUUGUUUCUCUUUUUCCAAGGUGCACUGCAACUCUCUCCACCUGCUUCCCCAGAGUCUGGUGUGCAUUACUCCGCAUCUUCAGGGCCUCAGCAUGCAAUGAAAGAUGCAGCAACCCAGGCGGAUGAGAUACACUUUGAGGAAAGCCCCACAAUCAAAAAACGGAGACCACCUGCACAAGAUGCAACCACUCAGACAGAGCCUAUAGAGAAUCCGCCUCGUUUGGUCAUAGUGGAAGUUCCUGAGCCACCAGAUAGUGUCCAAGCUCCACCUAGAUCAUCAACACCUGCUGCGGAGCCCCCACCUUUUUCAUUGACAGUUUCAUCACCAGGGCAUGAUGACACAGCAGAUAUUGUCAGUUUUGAGGAGGAGCCCAGGUCAGAGGCUUUGUGUGAUGACCCAUCAUAUCAACUGAGCUCAGAGCUUGGCUAUGACAGUGAUGGAGAGCCAAUAGAUGUGGUUCAUACGCGUCAUCUUGUUGAUG